UGCAAACAUAAUCAUAAUUUAAAUUUGGAACAAACAUAAUCAUAAUCUGGAACAAACAAACUAUGAAAUCAAAUUGCAGUAACAAAUUAAAAAUAGAAGACAACAAUGAAAUUAAAUGCAGAAGACAACAAUGAAAUAUAACAAUUAACCCAGACAAACAAGCAACAAUCAACAUAAUCAAAUUCCAAAAAACAGCAAUUAAUUUCCAAAAAUGAAAACUAAAGCAGGGUAGGGAUCUGCUUACAAACUCAGACAUUCAUAAACUCAAGCUAAGCCGAAAUUAGCAAACUCAGAAUCAGAAAUCAGAAACCAAAUAAAAGUACAAAUACAAGCAAAAUUAAAUUGAAGACUGGCAGCGAAAAAGGAGAAAUCCAAGUGACGGUGAUGGAAGAGGGGAAGUGAGCUCGGGUCAGAGGGGAUUGAAGACAGGCUUGACGUGUGAGAGAACCUGGAGAAAGUGACAUCAUCAAGAAACUUAGUAGAAAAAGAGAGAACCUGGAGAAAUAAAGGAAGAAGCUCGACUGCUCGAGCGUUCCACAGAGGUGAAAGAAAGGUCCCGGUGAGAGGAGGUGACGGCUGAGCAGUGGAAAAGAGGUGACGAUGGAGAGACGUUCGCGAUGAGAGAUUUGUAAUGGCUUCAGAU
Non-coding RNA from Arachis ipaensis, 643 nucleotides. The record is from RefSeq and is a predicted model, not a curated record. Lineage: Eukaryota; Viridiplantae; Streptophyta; Magnoliopsida; Fabales; Fabaceae.